CGCCAUAAGAACUAAGAGCAAAAAAUAUAUAUGGAAAAUGGGGACUGAAGCUUAACAGUGGGGCUGGGAUAUUCUGUGGAUGGAUGAUUAUCCUUUUCUGAGGGGAUAGAAACCAAGUUCUGAUCCUUAGCAAUGCUCCAUGUGUGAGCACUUGGCAUAUUGAAGAUGUUGGUGAAGUUGAGUUUGCUUUCAGCAGGCGAUUGGGAAUGAGGGAGAGUUUGAUGAACGGAAUAGGUGGUAUUUGUGUG
This 248-nucleotide long non-coding RNA is filed under the name Vitis vinifera (wine grape). RNAcentral describes it as "long non-coding RNA (VVIN_LNC007642)". The record is from RNAcentral. Lineage: Eukaryota; Viridiplantae; Streptophyta; Magnoliopsida; Vitales; Vitaceae.